CGAAUAUCUCUAUCUAUUUUUAUCUUCAUCUAAUAAUACAUUUACUGGUAUUCAGUAGUGCAUUCAUAACAUUUGAUGAUCCUUUUUGCGAAUAAUAAACUUUUGGAAAAAUACACAAAUGGAAGACCAAUGAAAUUAUGUAAAUGUUGAACUUGGUGAGAAGGUAAGAAAAAAUCUAUUGGAAUUGGAACAAAACCAUAGCAGUGAUUAUGUUCUUCUUGCUAACAUGUAUGCGAGCACGUGUCAGUGGAAUGAAAUGAGCAAACAGAUAAGAUCAAUGCAAGAAAAGAGCGUUCGGAAACCAGAGCCUCGAUACAUUUCUUCUGUAUCUGGAUCCUUACACUAGUAUAUAUUUUUUUUAUCUUAUUAUAUUCUUUGAUUCAGAGUUGUCUGUCAUCUCUACCGGGUUUCACACAAAACAUAUUUGCUCAUGGCGACAACUUGAAAAAAUACAAGGAAACAAAUUUUGAUUAAGCAAAAAAUAAAUAAGUAAAGUAUUACCUAAAUAAAUACCAUGUGAUCAAAUUCUAGAUUAGGAAUUUUUCAGCCUCAAUACAUUUAGUCUUUAUAAGUAGAAUCUUAUUAAAGUUAUGAAGCAUCAACUUUUUGAUAUCAUUUGGAUAUAUUGGAUGGAAUUUGGAACUUAUUAGAAUUAAAUAUCGUGUAACAGUAGUGAAGUUUAUACCAAUUUUAUACAGUUUAGGGGAGGAUUUGUCUGUGGCUUGGUGUCAAGACAAUAAUUAGCAACAAGACUAGUAAAUAAGCACUUUAAACAUUUUGCAAGUGUAUUAGGUUGGAGAAAUUCUGUUAAAAAAAUGAUGGUAUUAUGGUUUGCUUGUGAAUGGCACAUUUGGAAAAUAAGAAAUAAGAUAUUGUUCUAAGAAUAUUUAAACUUUGUUUAAUGUCUCUGCUAUAUUAAAGUUUCUCUUAUGCAGUGACGGCUCGAGAAGAUUGGAGGACCAUGUUAGCUUGUCAAUUAGAAGUAGCAUAUUUGAUGAUAGUGUUGUUGCAAGUGGAAAAUUGAAAGUGGGGACUCUAAGAAGGAAAAUGUGGGGAAAUUCUCAUCUAGAGGACUCUAUAAAAUUCAACCAUCACUACUCAAGGUUCCUGAGUUGGAAUUUGGAAGAGAAUGAACCAAGUCUGAGGCACAUUUGACUUCUGCUGCUGCUGUUGUGGAAUGUGGAAUUCAAGAUGCUUAUGAUUAUUCUUGCAAUAUAUGCCUUGAAUCCUUCAGUGACAGUGGCCAUUCUACAAUAUAGUUCUUUAGAUUUUUUAAAUUUUGUCGGGUCUUAUGGUUGGUAGUGAUCACUGUAGUGUUGUUGUGUUUGUCUAUUCUCAUUUUGUUACCUUUCCUUUAGGUGACAAGUUGCAAGCAUUGAGAUA
Vicia villosa (hairy vetch) is the source of this 1383-nucleotide long non-coding RNA. RefSeq lists it as uncharacterized. The record is from RefSeq and is a predicted model, not a curated record. The transcript has 3 exons. NCBI's taxonomy places the organism in Eukaryota, Viridiplantae, Streptophyta, Magnoliopsida, Fabales, Fabaceae.